Long non-coding RNA from Cucurbita moschata (crookneck pumpkin), 103 nucleotides. RefSeq lists it as uncharacterized. The record is from RefSeq and is a predicted model, not a curated record. The transcript is spliced from 3 exons. Lineage: Eukaryota; Viridiplantae; Streptophyta; Magnoliopsida; Cucurbitales; Cucurbitaceae.
UCUCAGAUAAACCAUCGUGACUGAUAGUGUUAUAGAGAGUUAGAGAGAGUAUGUCUUUCUUCUGCUCAAGCUCCCUCAAAAAGUGCUCGGCUUUGAUACCACU